GACGAACGCUGGCGGCGUGCCUAAUACAUGCGAGUAGAACGCUGAAGAGAGGAGCUUGCUCUUCUUGGAUGAGUUGCGAACGGGUGAGUAACGCGUAGGUAACCUGCCUUGUAGCGGGGGAUAACUAUUGGAAACGAUAGCUAAUACCGCAUAACAAUGGAUGACACAUGUCAUUUAUUUGAAAGGGGCAAUUGCUCCACUACAAGAUGGACCUGCGUUGUAUUAGCUAGUAGGUGAGGUAAUGGCUCACCUAGGCGACGAUACAUAGCCGACCUGAGAGGGUGAUCGGCCACACUGGGACUGAGACACGGCCCAGACUCCUACGGGAGGCAGCAGUAGGGAAUCUUCGGCAAUGGGGGCAACCCUGACCGAGCAACGCCGCGUGAGUGAAGAAGGGUUUCGGAUCGUAAAGCUCUGUUGUAAGUCAAGAACGGGUGUGAGAGUGGAAAGUUCACACUGUGACGGUAGCUUACCAGAAAGGGACGGCUAACUACGUG
RNAcentral lists this ribosomal RNA (497 nucleotides) under uncultured bacterium. Its description in RNAcentral is "partial 16S ribosomal RNA". It matches the Rfam family "Bacterial small subunit ribosomal RNA", at positions 28 to 507 of the family's 1533-position model. The record is from RNAcentral.